CUUUCCCUCUUUCUUCAGGCCUAACACAUGCAAGUCGAACGGUAACAGGAAGAAGCUUGCUUCUUUGCUGACGAGUGGCGGCCGGGUGAGUAAUGUCUGGGAAACUGCCUGAUGGAGGGGGAUAACUACUGGAAACGGUAGCUACUACCGCAUAACGUCGCAAGACCAAAGAGGGGGACCUUCGGGCCUCUUGCCAUCGGAUGUGCCCAGAUGGGAUUAGCUAGUAGGUGGGGUAACGGCUCACCUAGUCGACGAUCCCUAGCUGGUCUGAGAGGAUGACCAGCCACACUGGAACUGAGACACGGUCCAGACUCCUACGGGAGGCAGCAGUGGGGAAUAUUGCACAAUGGGCGCAAGCCUGAUUCAGCCAUGCCGCGUGUAUGAAGAAGGCCUUCGGGUUGUAAAGUACUUUCAGCGGGGAGGAAGGUAGUAAAGUUAAUACCUUUACUCAUUGACGUUACCCGCAGAAGAAGCACCGGCUAACUCCGUG
This 490-nucleotide ribosomal RNA is filed under the name uncultured bacterium. Its description in RNAcentral is "partial 16S ribosomal RNA". It matches the Rfam family "Bacterial small subunit ribosomal RNA", at positions 36 to 507 of the family's 1533-position model. The record is from RNAcentral.